AGGAGCAUGUGGUUAAUUUCGAUGAUACGCGAGGAACCGUUACCUGGGCUCGAACGUAAGAUGACUGUAGGUGAAAGCUUACAUCUCUUCGGAGCAUUUUACGAGGUGCUGCAUAGUUGUCGUCAGCUCGUGCCGUGAGGUGUCGGGUUAAGUCCCAUAACGAGCGCAACCCCUACCUUUAGUUGCCAUCAGGUUAAGCUGGGGACUCUAAAGGAACUGCCUACGCAAGUAGUGAGGAAGCGGGGAUGACGUCAAAUCAGCACGGCCCUUACGUCCAGGGCUACACACGUGCUACAAUGGCCGAUACAGAGGGCAGCUACCUGGUGACAGGAUGCAAAUCUCCAAAGUCGGUCUCAGUUCGGAUCGGAGUCUGCAACCCGACUCCGUGAAGUUGGAUUCGCUAGUAAUCGCGCAUCAGCCAUGGCGCGGUGAAUACGUUCCCGGGCCUU
This 449-nucleotide ribosomal RNA is filed under the name uncultured Sphingobacteriales bacterium. Its description in RNAcentral is "bacterial SSU rRNA". It matches the Rfam family "Bacterial small subunit ribosomal RNA", at positions 933 to 1382 of the family's 1533-position model. Lineage: Bacteria; Pseudomonadati; Bacteroidota; Sphingobacteriia; Sphingobacteriales. The record is from RNAcentral.